UACAGAGGGGGCGAGCGUUAUUCGGAAUUAUUGGGCGUAAAGGGCGCGUAGGCGGCCUUUCAAGUGACGGGUGAAAUCCCUCGGCUUAACCGAGGAACUGCCUGUCAGACUGGAAGGCUUGAGACCGGGAGAGGUGAGUGGAAUUCCCAGUGUAGCGGUGAAAUGCGUAGAUAUUGGGAGGAACACCAGUGGCGAAGGCGGCUCACUGGACCGAUACUGACGCUGAGGAGCGAAAGCGUGGGGAGCGAACAGG
Molecule: ribosomal RNA, 253 nt
Filed under: uncultured bacterium
Lineage: Bacteria
Description: partial 16S ribosomal RNA
Rfam family: Bacterial small subunit ribosomal RNA
Source: RNAcentral